This 72-nucleotide transfer RNA is filed under the name Chloroflexaceae bacterium. RNAcentral describes it as "tRNA-Gln". It matches the Rfam family "tRNA". Rfam says of the family: Transfer RNA (tRNA) molecules are approximately 80 nucleotides in length. Their secondary structure includes four short double-helical elements and three loops (D, anti-codon, and T loops). Further hydrogen bonds mediate the characteristic L-shaped molecular structure. tRNAs have two regions of fundamental functional importance: the anti-codon, which is responsible for specific mRNA codon recognition, and the 3' end, to which the tRNAs corresponding amino acid is attached (by aminoacyl-tRNA synthetases). tRNAs cope with the degeneracy of the genetic code in two manners: having more than one tRNA (with a specific anti-codon) for a particular amino acid; and 'wobble' base-pairing, i.e. permitting non-standard base-pairing at the 3rd anti-codon position. The record is from RNAcentral. Lineage: Bacteria; Bacillati; Chloroflexota; Chloroflexia; Chloroflexales; Chloroflexaceae.
UGCCGGGUUGUGUAAUCGGCAGCACAACGGAUUUUGGAUCCGUUUGUCCAGGUUCGAGUCCUGGCCCGGCAG